UGAAGACGGUCGACCCAAGCGAAUUUCCGGUGCCAAACCCGUUCCGAAAGCCUACCCACCCUCAAUAUAUAACCUAUACAACCGAUAACAUACGAGUAGUCAGCGAAACGUCGCGGGCGAAUCGUUCAUUAGUCAUUACAUACACUGGCGCAACAGCAGGCACGAUGGCACGAUAUGACAAUUUUAUAAUAAUAAUAUACUUGUUUAUGUAAUCUCGUAAUAAUAAAUAUUAUAUAUAAUA
Aphis gossypii (cotton aphid) is the source of this 241-nucleotide long non-coding RNA. RefSeq lists it as uncharacterized. The record is from RefSeq and is a predicted model, not a curated record. The transcript is spliced from 2 exons. NCBI's taxonomy places the organism in Eukaryota, Metazoa, Arthropoda, Insecta, Hemiptera, Aphididae.